RNAcentral lists this ribosomal RNA (254 nucleotides) under uncultured bacterium. Its description in RNAcentral is "partial 16S ribosomal RNA". It matches the Rfam family "Bacterial small subunit ribosomal RNA", at positions 524 to 776 of the family's 1533-position model. The record is from RNAcentral.
GACAGAGGGUGCAAACGUUGUUCGGAAUUACUGGGCGUAAAGGGCGCGUAGGCGGCCCGCUAAGUCGAACGUGAAAUCCCCAGGCUCAACCUGGGAACUGCGUCCGAUACUGGCAGGCUUGAAUCCGGGAGAGGGAUGUGGAAUUCCAGGUGUAGCGGUGAAAUGCGUAGAUAUCUGGAGGAACACCGGUGGCGAAGGCGGCAUCCUGGACCGGUAUUGACGCUGAGGCGGCGAAAGCUAGGGGAGCAAACGGG